This 1118-nucleotide long non-coding RNA is filed under the name Capra hircus (goat). RNAcentral's name for it is "lncRNA (ENSCHIG00000001183.1)". Lineage: Eukaryota; Metazoa; Chordata; Mammalia; Artiodactyla; Bovidae. The record is from RNAcentral.
UUAUGGAAAUAAUUGGCCCCAUUGACUCACUGCACGAUCACUUUAUGCCAUAGUGAAGUCUGUUUUUGCUUAGGUAUUCUUUUUUUUAAUGGCUUUUUUCAAUAACUUAAAAUUUUUUAUCAUUCAAACUGAUAUUAUAUCUAUGCCUUAUUUUGAUUAACUAGUAAACUGUUCAGUGUUUAAUAGAACUCUUCUGUCUCUCAUGUGCAGGUGCCAUCUUCAAACAGCUCCAUUAUUUAUGUCUGGUGCACAGUUUUGACUUUAGAACCCAGCUCUCAAGUGCAGCAGCGAAUGGUGAGUGCUUUCAGAUCCUAAAAUAUGGCAUACGACUUUGACCUUUCCUGUUCUGAAAUAAAUUAAGGUCAGAGUGACCCAGGGAAGAGAUUUAUUACAAGUUUGUCUCAGCAUCAAACAGCUGGAAUACUGCAACAAAGCAAAUAUGAAAGUUGUUCUGUCCUUUUAUUUUUAUAGAUUGUGUUCAGCCCUCUUUUUAUCAUGAGGAGUCAUCUUCCAGACCCCAUUAUCAUACAUUUGGAGAAAAGGAGUCUGGGAUUGAGUGAAACACAAAUUAUUCCAGGAAAAGGACAGGAAAAACCACUGCAAAACAUAGAACCUGACCUUGUACAUCACCUAACAUUUCAAGCAAGAGAAGAGGAUGACCCUUCACACUGUGCUGUUCCCAUCUCAACAUCCCUCAUUAAGCAGAUAGCCACUAAGAUACACCCCGAAGGCACAGUCACUCAGAUACUUGAUGAGUUCUACGGGCCAGAGAAGUUCCUUCAACCCACAUGGCCCUAUAAUAAAAAGGACUCUGACAGGAAUGAGCAACUGAGCCAGUGGGACAGCCCAAUGCGAGUGAAGCUGUCAGCCUGGAAGCCAUAUGUGAGGACCUUAUUGAUAGAAUUGCUACCGUGGGCCCUGCUUAUCAAUCAGUCCAAGUGGGACCUCUGGCUGUUUGAGGGAGAGAAGAUUGUUCUACAGGUUCCUGCUGGCAAAAUUAUUAUCCCUCCUAAUUUUCAGGUACUAUAACUCUUUUUUUAAACUAGUAGGAAUUCUUUUCUUUCAACAACCAUCUUUUAUUCUGAGGUUACAUUUAUGUUCUUAACAGACUCAAUCAG